Molecule: ribosomal RNA, 1215 nt
Filed under: metagenome
Description: bacterial SSU rRNA
Rfam family: Bacterial small subunit ribosomal RNA
Source: RNAcentral
AGAGUUUGAUCCUGGCUCAGGAUGAACGCUAGCGACAGGCUUAACACAUGCAAGUCGAGGGGCAUCAUGAGGUAGCAAUACCUUGAUGGCGACCGGCGCACGGGUGAGUAACGCGUAUGCAACCUGCCUGAUACCGGGGUAUAGCCCAUGGAAACGUGGAUUAACACCCCAUAGUACUUUUAUCCUGCAUGGGAUGUGAGUUAAAUGUUUAAGGUAUCGGAUGGGCAUGCGUCCUAUUAGUUAGUUGGCGGGGUAACAGCCCACCAAGACGAUGAUAGGUAGGGGUUCUGAGAGGAAGGUCCCCCACAUUGGAACUGAGACACGGUCCAAACUCCUACGGGAGGCAGCAGUGAGGAAUAUUGGUCAAUGGACGAGAGUCUGAACCAGCCAAGUCGCGUGAGGGAAGACUGCCCUAUGGGUUGUAAACCUCUUUUAUAAGGGAAGAAUAAGUUCUACGUGUAGAAUGAUGCCUGUACCUUAUGAAUAAGCAUCGGCUAACUCCGUGCCAGCAGCCGCGGUAAUACGGAGGAUGCGAGCGUUAUCCGGAUUUAUUGGGAUUAAAGGGUGCGUAGGCGGUUUAUUAAGUUAGUGGUUAAAUAUUUGAGCUAAACUCAAUUGUGCCAUUAAUACUGGUAAACUGGAGUACAGACGAGGUAGGCGGAAUAAGUUAAGUAGCGGUGAAAUGCAUAGAUAUAACUUAGAACUCCGAUAGCGAAGGCAGCUUACCAGACUGUAACUGACGCUGAUGCACGAGAGCGUGGGUAGCGAACAGGAUUAGAUACCCUGGUAGUCCACGCCGUAAACGAUGCUCACUGGUUCUGUGCGAUAUAUUGUACGGGAUUAAGCGAAAGUAUUAAGUGAGCCACCUGGGGAGUACGUCGGCAACGAUGAAACUCAAAGGAAUUGACGGGGGCCCGCACAAGCGGAGGAACAUGUGGUUUAAUUCGAUGAUACGCGAGGAACCUUACCUGGGUUUAAAUGGGAAAUGCCGUAUUUGGAAACAGAUAUUCUCUUCGGAGCGUUUUUCAAGGUGCUGCAUGGUUGUCGUCAGCUCGUGCCGUGAGGUGUCGGGUUAAGUCCCAUAACGAGCGCAACCCUUACCGUUAGUUGCUAGCAUGUAAUGAUGAGCACUCUAACGGGACUGCCACCGUAAGGUGAGAGGAAGGCGGGGAUGACGUCAACUCAGCACGGCCCUUACACCCAGGGCUACACACG